AGGAAAUGCUAAUAAGGAUAAGGAUAAAGAUAAGGAAGAUAAAGAUAUGGGUAAAGAUAAAGAUUAAGAUAAAGAUAAAGAUAAAGAUAAGGAAGAUAAAGAUAAGAGGAUAAAGAUAAAGAUAAGGAUAAGGAAGAUAAUGAUAAAAAUAAAGAUAAAGAAGAUGAAGAUAAGGAAGAUAAAGAUAAGGAUAAAGAAGAUAAAGAUAAGGAAGAUAAAGAUAAG
Molecule: non-coding RNA, 225 nt
Organism: Paramuricea clavata
Lineage: Eukaryota; Metazoa; Cnidaria; Anthozoa; Malacalcyonacea; Plexauridae
Source: the annotation of a GenBank genome assembly